GACGAACGCUGGCGGCGUGCUUAACACAUGCCAGUCGAACGGAAAGGCCCUGCUUUUGUGGGGUGCUCGAGUGGCGAAAGGGUGAGUAACACGUGAGUAACCUGCCCUUGACUUUGGGAUAACUUCAGGAAACUGGGGCUAAUACCGGAUAGGAGCUCCUGCUGCAUGGUGGGGGUUGGAAAGUUUCGGCGGUUGGGGAUGGACUCGCGGCUUAUCAGCUUGUUGGUGGGGUAGUGGCUUACCAAGGCUUUGACGGGUAGCCGGCCUGGGAGGGUGACCGGCCACAUUGGGACUGAGAUACGGCCCAGACUCCUACGGGAGGCAGCAGUGGGGAAUAUUGCACAAUGGGCGGAAGCCUGAUGCAGCAACGCCGCGUGCGGGAUGACGGCCUUCGGGUUGUAAACCGCUUUCGCCUGUGACGAAGCGUGAGUGACGGUAAUGGGUAAAGAAGCACCGGCUAACUACGUG
This 468-nucleotide ribosomal RNA is filed under the name uncultured bacterium. Its description in RNAcentral is "partial 16S ribosomal RNA". It matches the Rfam family "Bacterial small subunit ribosomal RNA", at positions 28 to 507 of the family's 1533-position model. The record is from RNAcentral.